CCCCAGUAGCGGCGAGCGAACGGGGAGCAGCCCAGAGUCUGAAUCAGCUUGUGUGUUAGUGGAACGGUCUGGAAAGUCCGACGGUACAGGGUGAUAGUCCCGUACACCAAAAUGCACAGGUUGUGAACUCGAAGAGUAGGGCGGGACACGUGGUAUCCUGUCUGAAUAUGGGGGGACCAUCCUCCAAGGCUAAAUACUCCUGACUGACCGAUAGUGAACCAGUACCGUGAGGGAAAGGCGA
RNAcentral lists this ribosomal RNA (241 nucleotides) under Klebsiella pneumoniae subsp. pneumoniae. RNAcentral's name for it is "partial 23S ribosomal RNA". It matches the Rfam family "Bacterial large subunit ribosomal RNA", at positions 238 to 517 of the family's 2925-position model. The record is from RNAcentral. Lineage: Bacteria; Pseudomonadati; Pseudomonadota; Gammaproteobacteria; Enterobacterales; Enterobacteriaceae.